Molecule: long non-coding RNA, 678 nt
Organism: Rattus norvegicus (Norway rat)
Lineage: Eukaryota; Metazoa; Chordata; Mammalia; Rodentia; Muridae
Source: Ensembl
UCUGAAACUAAGAGAGUUACUCAUAACUGUCUGUUAAACUCCUGAGCACAAGCCCAUGUGAGGCUCAGCAGAAAUGUUCUUGUUGAACCUGAGAGUGGGAUUGACUGUUUGACUCGCUCAGUGGUGAUAGCCAUGAAAAAAAUAGAAAAGCAUGAACAACACAGGUUACAAGAUGUCUUCCCGAAGAUACCAGACAGCUACCACAGGAGGAUGGAAUCCUGGUACAAGAUAUAAACCCAGUGAGUGGGUCAGCAUCUAGAAUUACUCUUUUGUCUCUGGAACCAAGAAGGAAAAGUGUGGAGACUGAGAGGAGAAGUGAGAACCUUUGAGCCUAUAUCUGGAGCAUGUGACUAGCAUUGGAGGUCGGAACACUCAGAUUUGGAAGAUUGUGGUCAUUUCUGGUGUCUGCGCUAACUCUGGAUGGUGUUAGAAUAUCAUUGAAAAGUUGGACUCUCGGCUGAUGCUGAGUUGAGAAAUUGUGAAAAACACCAUACAUAUGAUGUCAGAAGAGGUGUCAGAAUGAAGAUUCCACAGGAACAAUUAAAGGCACCCAAGGGAAUGAGCUCCCCAGCAAACACUAUACCUCCUUUUUCCCUGCCUAUUUCUUCAAAGGAACAAAGUUAAUCUUCUGGUUAAAGUCCAUUCUCAUUCUGACCAGAGGAGGCACUUCUAUCUUGG